CGGCCAGACUCCUACGGGAGGCAGCAGUAGGGAAUCUUCGGCAAUGGGCGAAAGCCUGACCGAGCAACGCCGCGUGAAUGAAGAAGGCCUUCGGGUUGUAAAAUUCUGUUAUAAGGGAAGAAAGGUGGUAGGAGGAAAUGACUAUCAAUUGACGGUACCUUAUGAGAAAGCCACGGCUAACUACGUGCCGGCAGCCGCGGUAAUACGUAGGUGGCGAGCGUUGUCCGGAUUUACUGGGCGUAAAGGGAGCGUAGGCGGAUUUUUAAGUGAGAUGUGAAAUACUCGGGCUCAACUUGAGUGCUGCAUUUCAAACUGGAAGUCUAGAGUGCAGGAGAGGAGAAUGGAAUUCCUAGUGUAGCGGUGAAAUGCGUAGAGAUUAGGAAGAACACCAGUGGCGAAGGCGGCUUUCUGGACUGAAACUGACGCUGAGGCACGAAAGCGUGGGGAGCGAACAGGAUUAGAUACCCGAGUAAA
RNAcentral lists this ribosomal RNA (474 nucleotides) under uncultured bacterium. Its description in RNAcentral is "partial 16S ribosomal RNA". It matches the Rfam family "Bacterial small subunit ribosomal RNA", at positions 328 to 794 of the family's 1533-position model. The record is from RNAcentral.